This 2091-nucleotide long non-coding RNA is filed under the name Piliocolobus tephrosceles (Ugandan red Colobus). RNAcentral describes it as "lncRNA (ENSPTEG00000010200.1)". The record is from RNAcentral. Lineage: Eukaryota; Metazoa; Chordata; Mammalia; Primates; Cercopithecidae.
GCAAGAAUACCAAGGACAGUUACAAAACGCAAAUAUAAAAAAAAACGUAUAUAAACUAAUUGAUGAAAGGAGUGCAUAUUAUUCUGUACUAUAUGGAUGGCAAAAAAUAUGGUACCAAUGUGUUGUUACUUGGGAAGAUAAAAAAUUAAUAGAACAGUUAUUAUGUAUAAUUCAAUGUGAGUUACUUUAUCAUUUAAUAGGUUCUAUUGGUCAGAGUGUGUCAAAAAUAAGAGUCCCAGUAGAUGAUUACUAUGCAAUUUCACCUUCUGUUCAUGUAGCACAUUGGAUGUUAGAUACGUUUGUUAGGCAUCCUUUAUGUCCUUCUAAAAUAAGAUCUUCUUGUAUUACUCCUAUCACUGUUACUUCAUUAUUUGGUUUGAUUAUGAAGGGUACUCGAUUACCUAUUUUUUUAGGUAUAGAUGUAAGUAGAUUAAUAUACUGGUUUUGUAUUGUUCAUAUAUUACAAAACAGUAAAUUGGACAAUAAUUAUAAAAAAUUAAAAAAUAUAGAUAUGUUUACCCAGUUUGGCAUUAACCUAGAACAUGAAAAUACGUUAUAUGAAGAGGAGGCUUUUCUUGAUGACUUUGGUUCCAAAAUCAAACAUAAUGAUUAUAUUAAAAAAGAAGAAAAAAAAAAAAUAUAUUAUAUGAACAAAAAAAAUGGAAGCAUGAACGGUAAUUAUUAUCAAUUUUUAAACUAUAUUUUUAAAUGUGUAAAUAUUUGCGGAACUUCUAUUUUUAACCAAAUAUCGACCUUUUGUAAAGAGCAAAGUAUAAAUAAAAAGAAGACCAAUAAUAAUAGUUCUAAUAAUAAUGCAGUUGAAGGGGAAAGAGAGGAUGAUGGAACUGGGCAGGCGAACGAAAACAAUGAAAUCGGAAACAACAACGGUAGUAACAAUGACAACGGAACCGGUAACGACAAUGACAUCAACAACGACGACGCUGGGAACAACGACAACGAAAAUGUCAACGAAAACAACGACAAUAUCAACACAAACAACGACAAUACCAACACAAACAACGACAAUGUUGCGAACAACAACGUCAGGAACAACAACUACUCAAACGUUAUAGACCAUUUAAACACAAACGUUUAUGACAUACAGAAUUGCAUAGAUCAUCUAAGCGGUAACAAUCAUAUUCCAAAUACGGACUUAAUCGAAGGUAAUGGUAGUUUAAGCGAUGAAACUAUGUACAAUUUAAACGAUAAUAAUGCCACGAACCCUAAUAUAUCUUCCACUAAUAUAAAUACCUUUCAAGAAAACACCGAACUUGAUAAUAACAGUAAUCGACUAUCAAAUGUCAACGAAAGCAGUUGUAAUGGUUUAUGUACAAACUCGGAUAGUAUAAUUGCAAAAAGCAACAAAAGGUUAUCAAGUGAGCUUUCAAAUUUUGAUUUGUUUGAUGAUAAUGAAAAUAGUACUCACAACCCUUUGAAAAUUAAUGUUUCUUUACUCAUUCAUUAUUUUGCAUGUGCCGCAUAUUAUAUAAAAAAAAUAGAUAUAUAUAAUAGUAUAAAAUUUUAUGAUGGACACAUUCAUAGUUAUUUUAAAAAUUAUUGUUUAUUUGUAAGUGUUGUUGAUCAUGUAGCCAAAUUAUAUUCCAAAUGUAGCUUGAGAAAAAAUGUUUAUAAUAAAAAUAAAUCUAUUAAAAAUGAACAUACAAAUGAAAAUAAUGUUGACACUUUUACUGUAGCUAGUGAAUACAAAAAAACACAAGGAUUAAGAAACAUUACCAUUAAUAACAAUAAUAAAAAUGGUUCAGUACAUUUUCAGAACUAUGAAAUGAAUAAGAGUAGUAUAUCGAUAAUAAAUGAGCAAAAUAAACAUACAUUAUUAAUAGAAAAUGGUACUAAUAGUGCCGAUGAUACAGUAUAUACAAAAAAUAAACACUGCUUUGAUGAUAAUUAUGUGGGCCAUUAUCCUGAAAUGUUUGUAGAUAGUGUACUUAAAUUGCAAAAAAGAGUUUUGGCUACAGUUGUAAUAGACGUUAAUAAAAAGAUUCACCAUGUAUGUGCACCUAAUGUAAAUAAACUAAAAUUAAAAAUAAAUAAUAUAUUUUCAAUGCUAAAUGGUCAAACAAUAUAUGAAAC